ACCCUAUAGAGAUAUAGUUUCCCCUUCGGGGGCAACGGUGACAGGUGGUGCAUGGUUGUCGUCAGCUCGUGUCGUGAGAUGUUGGGUUAAGUCCCGCAACGAGCGCAACCCUUGAUCUUAGUUGCCAUCAUUUAGUUGGGCACUCUAAGGUGACUGCCGGUGACAAACCGGAGGAAGGUGGGGAUGACGUCAAAUCAUCAUGCCCCUUAUGACCUGGGCUACACACGUGCUACAAUGGACGAUACAAACGGUUGCCAACUCGCGAGAGGGAGCUAAUCCGAUAAAGUCGUUCUCAGUUCGGAUUGUAGGCUGCAACUCGCCUACAUGAAGCCGGAAUCGCUAGUAAUCGCGGAUCAGCAUGCCGCGGUGAAUACGUUCCCGGGCCUUGUACACACCGCCCGUCACACCACGAGAGUUUGUAACACCCGAAGUCGGUGAGGUAACCUUUUGGAGCCAGCCGCCGAAGGUGGGAUAGAUGAUUGGGGUGAAGUCGUAAAGGGUAAACCCGUA
Molecule: ribosomal RNA, 510 nt
Filed under: bacterium PH-EB026
Lineage: Bacteria
Description: bacterial SSU rRNA
Rfam family: Bacterial small subunit ribosomal RNA
Source: RNAcentral